CCUACGGGAGGCAGCAGUGGGGCAUAUUGCACAAUGGGGGAAACCCUGAUGCAGCGACGCCGCGUGAGUGAAGAAGUAUUUCGGUAUGUAAAGCUCUAUCAGCAGGGAAGAAAAUGACGGUACCUGACUAAGAAGCCCCGGCUAACUACGUGCCAGCAGCCGCGGUAAUACGUAGGGGGCAAGCGUUAUCCGGAUUUACUGGGUGUAAAGGGAGCGUAGACGGUGAUGCAAGUCAGAAGUGAAAGCCCGUGGCUCAACUCCGGGACUGCUUUUGAAACUGUGUGACUGGAGUGCAGGAGAGGUAAGCGGAAUUCCUGGUGUAGCGGUGAAAUGCGUAGAUAUCAGGAGGAACACCAGUGGCGAAGGCGGCUUACUGGACUGUAACUGACGUUGAGGCUCGAAAGCGUGGGGAGCAAACAGGAUUAGAUACACCGGUAGUC
Molecule: ribosomal RNA, 440 nt
Filed under: uncultured bacterium
Lineage: Bacteria
Description: partial 16S ribosomal RNA
Rfam family: Bacterial small subunit ribosomal RNA
Source: RNAcentral